This 496-nucleotide ribosomal RNA is filed under the name uncultured bacterium. RNAcentral's name for it is "partial 16S ribosomal RNA". It matches the Rfam family "Bacterial small subunit ribosomal RNA", at positions 28 to 506 of the family's 1533-position model. The record is from RNAcentral.
GAUGAACGCUGGCGGCGUGCCUAAUACAUGCAAGUCGAGCGAACAGACGAGGUUCUUGCUCCUCUGACGUUAACGGCGGACGGGUGAGUAACACGUGGAUAACUUACCUAUAAAACUGGGAUAACUUCGGGAAACCGGAGCUAAUACCUGAUAAUCUAUUGAACCGCAUGGUUCAAUAGUGAAAGACGGUUUUGCUGUCACUUAUAGCUGGAUCCGCGCCGCAGUAGCUAGUUGGUUAGGUAACGGCUUACCAAGGCAACGAUGCGUAGCAGACGGAAGAGGGAGAUGGGCCACACUGAACAUGAGACACGGUCCAGGAUCAUACGGACGGCAGCAAUAGGGAAUAUACCGCAGUGGACGAAGGCCAGACGGAGCAACGCAGGAUGAGUGAUGAAGGUCUUCAGAAUGUAAACCACUGUUAUUGGGAAAAGACAAAUGUGUAAGUAACUGUGGGCGUCUUGAGGGAACCUAGGCAGAAAGCCACGGUUAACUACUU